UUUUUCAGGACCAAAGCGGGGCCGGAGCGCUACUUGCUUAACUCUGGUUUAAGGGCAGAUCAGGGCCAUAAGAAUAGGUCAGUGGGGGAAAUCUUCUCUUCGCUCAGCAUCUGAACCUCUUUUAAGGAUAUCCCAAGGGAUGAUGGUUAGGUUUGCGUGUGACCACAUAAGCAUCAACAACAUGACUCUCAUUGCCGCCUCUGCUGUUUCCCCAUAAACUGAAGAAAUGCUUA
This is a non-coding RNA of Neolamprologus brichardi, 233 nucleotides long. NCBI's taxonomy places the organism in Eukaryota, Metazoa, Chordata, Actinopteri, Cichliformes, Cichlidae. The record is from RefSeq and is a predicted model, not a curated record.